RNAcentral lists this ribosomal RNA (253 nucleotides) under uncultured bacterium. Its description in RNAcentral is "partial 16S ribosomal RNA". It matches the Rfam family "Bacterial small subunit ribosomal RNA", at positions 524 to 776 of the family's 1533-position model. The record is from RNAcentral.
UACAGAGGUGGCAAGCGUUGUUCGGAUUUACUGGGCGUAAAGGGUGCGUAGGUGGCUUCGUGUGUCGGGCGUGAAAGCCCACCGCUCAACGGUGGAAUGCCGUCCGAAACUACGAGGCUUGAGUGCAGGAGAGGAGAGCGGAAUUCUUGGUGUAGCGGUGGAAUGCGUUGAUAUCAAGAAGAACACCAGUGGCGUAGGCGGCUCUCUGGAAUGCAACUGACACUGAGGCACGAAAGUUGGGGGAGCAAACAGG